GACGAACGCUGGCGGCGUGCUUAACACAUGCAAGUCGAACGGAAAGGCCCUGCUUUUGUGGGGUGCUCGAGUGGCGAACGGGUGAGUAACACGUGAGUAACCUGCCCUUGACUUUGGGAUAACUUCAGGAAACUGGGGCUAAUACCGGAUAGGAGCUCCUGCUGCAUGGUGGGGGUUGGAAAGUUUCGGCGGUUGGGGAUGGACUCGCGGCUUAUCAGCUUGUUGGUGGGGUAGUGGCUUACCAAGGCUUUGACGGGUAGCCGGCCUGAGAGGGUGACCGGCCACAUUGGGACUGAGAUACGGCCCAGACUGCUACGGGAGGCAGCAGUGGGGAAUAUUGCACAAUGGGCGGAAGCCUGAUGCAGCAACGCCGCGUGCGGGAUGAUGGCCUUCGGGUUGUAAACCGCUUUCGCCUGUGACGAAGCGUGAGUGACGGUAAUGGGUAAAGAAGCACCGGCUAACUACGUG
Molecule: ribosomal RNA, 468 nt
Filed under: uncultured bacterium
Lineage: Bacteria
Description: partial 16S ribosomal RNA
Rfam family: Bacterial small subunit ribosomal RNA
Source: RNAcentral